AUGCUGCCCCCUUACCCUGGCUUCAUUUUUCAAGAUUCAAGUCCAGCGUCAUUUCCUGGAAAAGACUCCUCUCUGCAGCUGCUGAGUCACGCUUGGACCCUCAAAUGUAACCCCGAAUAUCAGCAGCAGACCCCCCCACCCCUGGGGGAAAAGUCUCCAAUCAGAGAUCCUCUGAGGCGAGCCAAGAGCGGUUUUGGAGGGAGCAGCGCAUAUUUUGAGGGAAGAAGCCCCAUGAGAGCCUCCCUGCAAGAAGCCAGAACAUUAUCACCAACCCCUCUCCUCUGUCCCCUCAAAGGCCUCUCCUGA
RNAcentral lists this long non-coding RNA (306 nucleotides) under Bos indicus x Bos taurus (hybrid cattle). RNAcentral's name for it is "lncRNA (ENSBIXG00000014858.1)". The record is from RNAcentral. Lineage: Eukaryota; Metazoa; Chordata; Mammalia; Artiodactyla; Bovidae.